UCAAUAAUCUCCAAAAUUAUAAUUUUUUAUUAAACUAUUCUUUGAUAUAACAAAAAUAUUUCUAUCU
This 67-nucleotide transfer RNA is filed under the name Apocheima cinerarius. Its description in RNAcentral is "tRNA-Pro". Lineage: Eukaryota; Metazoa; Arthropoda; Insecta; Lepidoptera; Geometridae. The record is from RNAcentral.